Molecule: long non-coding RNA, 995 nt
Organism: Callithrix jacchus (white-tufted-ear marmoset)
Lineage: Eukaryota; Metazoa; Chordata; Mammalia; Primates; Cebidae
Source: RefSeq, a predicted model, not a curated record
ACGUGGCUAACUCAGAACCGUGGAGGCUGCCUUUCAAAGUUUCCGCCAAGAUCAUGGGACCCCACCGUCAAGGACUGUGCCUCGGGAUCCGGUUCCCAGGUUCCCAGCACACAGUCAAGCCCCAGAGCUGAACCAGCAGCCCAGCGGAGCAGCCUUCAGCUCAGGCCUCCUGCAGUCUUCAGCCAGGAGAUGGUGGGGUUCGUCUCCAACUCCUGACCUCAAGCGAUCCUUCUGCCUCAGCCUUUCAAAGCACUGGGAUGUCAAGUGUGAGCCACCACUCCUGGCCACAUAUGCUUCUCUCCAGAACCUUGAACAUGUCAAGUCUUCUCAUUUUUGGAAGUCAUACGCUUUUCACUGUCUGGAGAACCAGGAAUCCAAAUGUCAGAGCCCUGAUGGCCAUGUUUUUCUAGUAUUUUCAAUGUGCUUCUUCAAGUGCAAAAGGAUCAAGGCUUGGAAGAGGCAUUCACCUUACUUAGUCAUCCAGCUCUGGAGACAAUGAAGAUAGUCCCAGCCCACCUCCCACUUAGAUGGCAAUCCACUUCCCUAGAAAGCACAGGGGUGUUGGAGCGAAGAACAUGCCUUGUAACCACAACCAAUGAAACCACACGACAGCAUGGCAGGGCCUUCACUGAAGACAAAAGUAGCUGUUGACUUGGCAUUUAUUUCUGUGUAAGCAUUUGAAAAACAGACCCAAAAGGAAGCACCUGUGUGGCAGUCCCAUAUUUGUACCCAAGAAGUUCUCAUACAUGUGGUACAGGCUUUGGGGUCAGAUAGAUCUGGGAUCAUAUCCCAACACUACCUCCUUCUAGAGUUUGGAAAGGGGCAAGUUCCUUCGCUUCCCUGAACCUCAGGUUUCUCAUCUAUCAAGUGGAAACAAUGCUGUUUACCUGGUGGGGUCACUGUGAGGACUGGAGAGGGAGCUGAGGGCCUGGCAUGGCAGAGAUUGGCAAGGAGUGGGUGCUUGGUGAGGAAUAGCCACAUGCAAAGGAGAAGCA